RNAcentral lists this ribosomal RNA (108 nucleotides) under Sinocyclocheilus anshuiensis. The record is from RNAcentral. Lineage: Eukaryota; Metazoa; Chordata; Actinopteri; Cypriniformes; Cyprinidae.
AGUGACGGGGACACUAUACCCACCCCACUCCCCGAUUAGCUAAGCAGGAUUGAGCCUGGUUAGUACCUGGAUGGGAGACCUCCUUGGAAAACUAGGUUGCUGUUGGAA